AUUUUUCUAGUAUAAAAGUACAUUUAACUUCCAAUUAAAAAGAUUGAUUAUUAAAUCAAGAAAAAUA
RNAcentral lists this transfer RNA (67 nucleotides) under Acrida willemsei. Its description in RNAcentral is "tRNA-Gly". The record is from RNAcentral. Lineage: Eukaryota; Metazoa; Arthropoda; Insecta; Orthoptera; Acrididae. RNAcentral also lists the same sequence under 2 other names.